CCAUGGAAUGAGUGAUUUUUCUUAGAAGCAGAGGUGGAGCCACUGAGGAAGCACAGGCGAGCCCUCCCCAGCACGUGCUCACUGGUCCCCAACAGAAGAACCGCUGCCGCCUCCAUGAGUCCCAUCAGAGCCCUAGAGCCCAAGAUGCAGCAUCCAAGGUUCCCUCCAGAAAUCCUGGUGGCUUGACUUAUUUUGUCAUGUUUCAUCUGAUAACAAAAAUAUCAUAUUAGCUGCACAGAAAAAUGGCUCAAAGUGCUUACUGACUAGAAGAAAUCGAGGAGCAGCAAGAAGGUAAUGUGGAGAGGGGAGGACCUCCAUGACCGGUGUCUGCAGAGCCAGGGGUACAGGCACCCAGUGCAGUGACCUGGCACCACCUGCCUCUCAGAGGGUGGGUAGCACACUGUCCUUACCUGGGGGACAGCAGGCCUGGCCACUGGCUUUUCUCCCUGUCCCUGCAAGCAUCACAUUGCUGGAAGAGAAUUUCAUGCCAGAGCUUGGACCGUCCCUAGCUUGGGAGUUACGGGUUGUCUCUUGGUGACCUAAAUGAAAAAAUAGGUCCAGAACAGAGUUCCUGAUGCUGGGCACUCAUCCACUCUUUGAAUCAUGGGAGGGGAGGCCUAGUCCUAGGUAAACCUAACCUCUUUGAGGAACCACAGUGCCCAAGGCUGGAAACCUCCAGAAUCCUCCCGCCCCCGAUCCUCCCCAGGGACCCCUGUGGCCUGUCUCACCAGAGCAUUCUUCCAUCCGUAGAUGUUUCAUCUGCUCUACAAGGGAGUCCCAUUUCAGGUGUGGGGCUGGGCAUGGUCACUCCUGCUGGAUGUCUGGAAGGUGAAAACCAAGGACCUAGGGAAAUACCAGGUACAGCCUUUCCACCCUCAUCCAGAGCAGGACAAACAGGCCAGGUGGUAUCAGGAGCCCAGGUCUCCAGCUGGAGGGAAUGUCAACCCUGCAGUGGGAGUCCAUCACGCAUCCUAGGCACAGAUGCUAAUGUAGGCACCGCGGACCAUAAAGGAAAACAGCAAGAGGUCCCCAGCAAACAUCUACAGAUGGCCCUGGACAUCAGCCACAUUCUGAGAAACAUGUCAUGUUCUGGGAGGGCUAAGGCAUCAAGGCCUCAGUGCAUGGGCACUGUCCAACCUCUGGUGCUGAAGCAGCCGAGAGACCCAAGCCUGCCACUCAAGAUAUGA
RNAcentral lists this long non-coding RNA (1187 nucleotides) under Pan troglodytes (chimpanzee). RNAcentral describes it as "lncRNA (ENSPTRG00000054619.1)". The record is from RNAcentral. Lineage: Eukaryota; Metazoa; Chordata; Mammalia; Primates; Hominidae.